This is a non-coding RNA of Moorella thermoacetica ATCC 39073, 74 nucleotides long. The record is from Rfam. NCBI's taxonomy places the organism in Bacteria, Bacillati, Bacillota, Clostridia, Neomoorellales, Neomoorellaceae.
GCGUCUGUAGCUCAGGUGGAUAGAGCAGCGGUUUCCUAAACCGCGUGCCGGGGGUUCGAGUCCCUCCAGGCGCA